CAUACUUUUUCUUGCAACUGUAUCUGUUAGUCCAUACGCACAGUUUUUAUGUGUGUGUUUGGAGGCCAUGGGUUACACAAUGUUGCUUUACAUAUUUACUACUAUUCUGCUACUCCAGUCUUUCUUUUUGAAGAAUUAAAACUUGUAAAAAAGGACUGUGGUCAUUUCACAUCAUUGGCCAUAGCAGACAAAAAUGUGUGCAC
Pelobates cultripes (western spadefoot toad) is the source of this 203-nucleotide non-coding RNA. Lineage: Eukaryota; Metazoa; Chordata; Amphibia; Anura; Pelobatidae. The record is from the annotation of a GenBank genome assembly.